Molecule: ribosomal RNA, 619 nt
Filed under: uncultured bacterium
Lineage: Bacteria
Description: bacterial SSU rRNA
Rfam family: Bacterial small subunit ribosomal RNA
Source: RNAcentral
ACUCCUACGGGAGGCAGCAGUGGGGAAUAUUGCGCAAUGGCCGAAAGGCUGACGCAGCGACGCCGCGUGGGGGAUGAAGCAUUUCGGUGUGUAAACCCCUGUUGCUCGGGACGAACAAUCGGCUUUAGCCGAUCUGACGGUACCGGGUGAGGAAGCACCGGCUAACUCCGUGCCAGCAGCCGCGGUAAUACGGAGGGUGCGAGCGUUGUCCGGAAUCACUGGGCGUAAAGGGCGCGUAGGCGGUCUGCUAAGCGUGUGGUGAAAGCUCGGGGCUCAACCCCGAGUCUGCCAUGCGAACUGGUGGACUAGAGCACUGUAGAGGCAGGUGGAAUUCCGGGUGUAGCGGUGGAAUGCGUAGAGAUCCGGAAGAACACCGGUGGCGAAGGCGGCCUGCUGGGCAGUUGCUGACGCUGAGGCGCGACAGCGUGGGGAGCAAACAGGAUUAGAUACCCUGGUAGUCCACGCCGUAAACGAUGGGCACUAGGUGCUUGGGGGAGCGACCCCCCGAGUGCCGGCGCUAACGCAUUAAGUGCCCCGCCUGGGGGAGUACGACCGCAAGGUUGAAACUCAAAGGAAUUGACGGGGGCCCGCACAAGCGGUGGAGCAUGUGGUUUAAUUC